CCUACGGGGGGCAGCAGUAAGGAAUAUUGGACAAUGGCCGCAAGGCUGAUCCAGCCAUCCAGCGUGCAGGAAGAAGGCCCUACGGGUUGUAAACUGCUUUUGUCAGGGAAGAAACCCUUGGAUUGACUCCGAGGCUGACGGUACCUGAAGAAUAAGCACCGGCUAACUCCGUGCCAGCAGCCGCGGUAAUACGGAGGGUGCGAGCGUUAUCCGGAAUUACUGGGUUUAAAGGGUGCGUAGGCGGCUUGGUAAGUCAGGAGUGAAAGUUUGCGGCUCAACCGUAAAAUUGCUUUUGAUACUGCCAGGCUAGAAUCAGGAUGAGGUCAGCGGAAUGUGGCAUGUAGCGGUGAAAUGCAUAGAUAUGCCAUAGAACACCUAUUGCGAAGGCAGCUGGCUAGACCUGUAUUGACGCUGAGGCACGAAAGCGUGGGGAGCGAAC
This 439-nucleotide ribosomal RNA is filed under the name uncultured Mesorhizobium sp. Its description in RNAcentral is "bacterial SSU rRNA". It matches the Rfam family "Bacterial small subunit ribosomal RNA", at positions 338 to 773 of the family's 1533-position model. Lineage: Bacteria; Pseudomonadati; Pseudomonadota; Alphaproteobacteria; Hyphomicrobiales; Phyllobacteriaceae. The record is from RNAcentral.